GCCGUCGCACGCCUUCCUCCAUGACAAUCUGUGCUUGCGACAUUCAUCAACAACAUGUUGAUUUGUUUGUCUGUCUGCUCAAUGAUGUACAGUUGACACCAUUGUUUUCCUCGUUGCAGGAUAUAUUGACUUGUUGAAUUCCGCCAUCGUCACCACAUCAGCCCGGCUGCCAUCUGGGUUUCUUUUGACCCGAUGUGAUGAACACAUCUGAAGGAGAGCAGCAGAGUAUUCACGUACAUGUGGCAAAGCAGCAGGUUAGUACAGGUGUUUUUCUAAUGCAAGAUCAUUCACAGUGUCUAAAAUUUUCUACUCGUUUGCAGGUGAGGAGAAUCGUUUUAUCACUUGAGUCAAAAGUAUGCCCCAAAACUUAUUGCCAGUGGUUGAUUAGGAGACCAUUAGAUUUAUUGUUCCCAGUGGUUUAUUAGGAGACCAUUAGAUUUAAUAUCUUUAUGUUUCUAUAUAUGGAUAUUUUGUAGGUCAGUCCUUGCAUGCUUUCAGAUUUGUAUGCUAAAUUUUCCUGUAGAUGCAUAUGCUGAAUGUUUCCUGUAAAUGCAUAUACUGAUUUUUUAUAUACAGAAGUAUUUACUGCAAUGUUCCCUAUGUGCUAUUUUUUUAUUCACCAUUACGAGCAUAUAUACUGCAUUUUUCUUUAUAGAGAUGGUAUAUGCUGCUUUAUUUCCUAUAGGGGUAUAUACUGAAAUUUAUAUAACAAAUAACAGAUUUAUAUUAUCAAAUCACCAAAUGUGUAUAUUGUACUGCAUGUAAUAGAAUCUCUCUCCCUCUCAAGAAAAGGGAAAUUGUUAGAUUUAAUGCCGCAUGCACUAUUUGCUAUCUGAAAACCGUGUAUUUGCAAAAAUAUCCAAUUUUGGGCAAUAUAUUGGUGGUAUGGUCUCCUGACAUCAACUCUUACCCAUAUUGUUUGUCAACAGAUCUGCUAUCCUUAAUCGCUCAACCUGAGGCAAAACAAUCAAUACAUUGCAGAAGUUUUGGUUCAUUUCAGCCUUGGAAAUAUUUAAAGUAAGACCUGUACUACUACCACAUCAAAGAUUUAGUUGUUCCUUUGUAAUGACAUUAUUUUUUGACAGCACACAUACUCCAUUCCUGAUUCACUUGAUAUUCCUAAUUUUUUUUAAAAAAUCUUUCUCGGUGUUGUUUGAGUUCCAUUCUGAACUACAGUUUCUUGGAGCUGAUUCGGAGUCUGCUGGUUUUUUAAUUGCUUAGGUUUGGAUAUCACCAAAGAUCACAUACUGCCAUACUGGAGAUUGCUUGACAACGUUCGUUGCAGCAGUUUGAGAAGUGAUUUUCCACGCACGCAUAACGAGGAAGUGUUUCGGGUUCUGAUGUUGUGCAGUUAUGUACAAUAGUAACGAGAAGAUGUUGUGCAGUUAUGUCUUGGAAAGUAAACAACUUUCUCCUCAUUAUGAGAAAAUAAAUAUUGUUUACAGUGCUGGAUCACUGAACUUCAACAAACCAUUUUUAUGUGAUCAUUGAUUCAGAAAAACAAAUGAGUUUGAAUGAAUAUUUUUCACUUCAAUUGAUCACUACUUUCUCAAAAAAGAAGUGAGGUAAUGACUCCAGUUUUUAGUUCUGUGUUUAGAAUGUAUGUCACCUAGGAAUUAUUUGAGGGACAAUAUUUUGUCAAGCUUAAAGAUUGCAAGGGCUAUGGUGCUUUAAGGUGCUGAGAUAUUGCACACCCCAUGAUAAUUUGCCUCGACUUCCAUGAACACCGGGAGUGUGUCUGUGUCAUGCAAGGCCAUGUUGGCGCUAGCUUGGUACUGUUUUUUUUUCUGCAAACCAUUUGAGAAUAAAUUGUUUGAAAUGAUCUUAUUCCAAAGGAUCCAAGGUGGCAUUAGAGAAGCAUCCUUUUUAAUUUCCAUGCUGAGAAUUUUUCUUUUCAUCACAAUUGAUACAUAUUACCUUGCAAAAUAACAUUUUAUCUUGCACUUUAAGGUUGGUGAGAAUAUGGCAAAUCUUUUCACUUAUAGCUAUUUUCACUCAAUUGCCAGCUACCAGCUACCAGAGCAUCACCAACCUCCAAGUGAAGAAUAGACAAAUUACAUGGCAAUUGUUCCACUUUGUUAAAUAUUAGUGACACAUGUUGCAAGAUCUUAAGUUAUUUUAUUUAUUGAACCUCCUAGGUGUUACCACAAUAUAUAUUGAUGUAUUUUCAUUAAGAACAAUGUAAAGAUAUUGUUCAUCUAAUGUAAAGAUAUUGAUGUGGUUCUGCUCAGUGAAUUUCUGAUUUUUACAUUAAUUUUUAUUUUGUAUGGAAAUAAAAAUGAGGUUUCACUGCAAUCAUUUAUUUCUUUCCAUAUUGUCCUCUGGUUGCAUGCUGAGAAGUUGUGUUUAUUUUCCAUUUUUUAACUUCAAAGGAAAAUACAGUGGAGCUUGAUUUCUGUCUAAAAUAGGAAUGGCUUGUCUUGUGUGCGUAUUUAGUACCCACUACAAAAUGUAAUACAUAAUAUUUUGCCGAAAAAAAUUCAGUGCUAACGUAAACUUUUUAACUAUCUGUUCCAUUGCUGAAAGUACCAAUGUUUUGGGUGUUUUAUUUGCAAUAUCAAUUUUUAUCGUAGCAUUAGCACGGGCAUAUUACUAGUUUCAAUUUAUUACUAGUUUCAUAUGAAUUGGUUUAAUUCCAUUAGACCAGUAGAAACUCCCACAUUCUAG
This 2667-nucleotide long non-coding RNA is filed under the name Oryza sativa (Asian cultivated rice). RNAcentral's name for it is "long non-coding RNA (OSAT_LNC001563)". Lineage: Eukaryota; Viridiplantae; Streptophyta; Magnoliopsida; Poales; Poaceae. The record is from RNAcentral.